AUGUUCUACUCCAAGACGAUGCUGUCCAAGAAGGGCCCGCUGGGCGCGGUGUGGGUGGCGGGCGUCCGCGGCGUCGCCGCGCUCACCAGGGACCAGGUCCUGCGCACCGACGUCGCCUCCUCCGUCGACAAGAUUUUGCCCGACGUUGAAACCACAUACAGAAUACUUGGGCUGCUUCUGCUUGGCGUUGUUAGGAUUUACUCCAAGAAGGUGGAAUACCUCUGCUAUGACAGCAAUCAGUUUUUUGAAUCAACUGUAAGAGGGAAGAAAGUUCUAAAGCGAGGGAAGAAAGGUGCUUGUGCAAGAAGAUUGGUGCUAGACCAAGAAGACACUAGAAGAGCGAAAAGAGUUGCUGUAGUUCAAGUCCCAGGAUUGGACGAACCAGCUGACCUUCCACCAAUCUUCACCGUACCCAAAAGAUUUGAGCUCGACUCUUUUGAUUUGCAGAUACCUGAAGACAGAGAGGAUGACAAUGAUGAUCAUCACCAAUUGCCUCGUCAAGAUACUUUGCUGGAAGAUGAACAUCAGCGUAUGCCAAAUUUUUACGAGUCUUAUCAGGGGAUGCCAUAUGCUGAUCUGGACUCUGCUUACGUUGUGCCAGUAUGCAUCAUCCCAGCUGAAAUGAUCAGUGUCACUGAUGAAGUCACCGAUCUUCUGUACUUGAGUAACAUAGGGGAUGAACUUGAAAAUGAAAGUCAGAAUGCUGAUCCUGCUUGCUUUACACCAGUGAAGGAUGUUCUUCCACCUGAGGCGAUGGAUAUGAUGGCUGAAGUAAGUGAGCUUCCAGAGAAAAGCAAAGAGGUGAAGAAAGCUAGAAGAGAAGUGAAUGGUGAAGAGAAUGGUGAUCCGUCUUGUUCUACCCCUUUGCCGGAGAAUCAAGAAAUGCAAAGACCUGUGAAUGCUGUGGAGAAUGUGGUGUCUGCAGAUCUUGAUGAAAAUCAUCCUGUAGUCGAAGAAUCAGAAAAUGGGUUAGCGGUAGGAAAACCGAACACAACACUAUCUGUAGAAAUUCCUGACAUCGAGGAACAAGAGUCUCUGGAACCUUCCACUCCAGAGCCCUUGCGAGAGGGAGCCUCAGAAAAAUUUGGUGUUGCAACACCUGCUCAAAAUGAGAAGCGCCAGGUUACCAGAAAAAGGAGGAGGGGGUUAUACAAUAAGAGAAAAGUUUGGGUGUUGUGGGAUGAGAAUGUUGUCCUUGAUAAUGACACGAUGAGAGAAAUUGUAGACGGGGUUGGUGUAGAGGAUCUAGUUGUCAAAAGAAGGAAGGCGCCUCACACUCGCCAUCAGAUUUGGAGGGAGUCAAGAUUUCGUUCUCUGCAGGAUACUUUCAUGGAGCCAAUUCUUCAGUGUGAUAACAUUGAGCCAAUUCUUCAAUAUUCGACUACAGUGCGCCUUAAUUCUACUACAGCCGAUGCCUCAUGCGGGGAAUCCGUUAAAGCAAAGAAGUGUCUUUCAUAUGAACCUGCUGAAUCCAACAAUCCCCACAAGGAAGCUGCAAAUGAAGAAACAGAAUGUGUCCCAGAUGAACUGACAAAUGGCAUCCAUACUCCUAUUGGGUGCUACAAUCAAAGUCAGCAAAGUCAAGAUGUUUGUGAAUGCAAUGAUGAUACACCUUAUGAAAAGAACAGCACACUAGUCAAUGGAGAGGAAUCAGGGCUGCCAGAAGAGAGAUUGUAUGAAUCAACCAGUCACAGUGCAUUGCGCAAUGAAUCGUUGACUGCUGACAUAGAUGCGGAUAUUCCUAUGGAUGAAGAGAAUGCUGCCAGAGAUGAAGAUUUCCCGCUUUCAACAAGAACUAGGGCAGUAGCAAAGUGCCUUCAUCAGCUAUUCUUGGACCAGAAGAGCCAGCAGCAAAGCAAUGUCCCCGUGACGCUCGGCCAGGCCCUCGAAGGCAGCAAGAGGAAAACCACAGCAAGAUUCUUCUAUGAAACUCUGAUCCUCAAGAGCCGCGGGUUGAUAGAUGUGAAUCAGGAGAAGCCCUAUGAGAACAUCACAAUCUCUGCGACUCCACAACUCGACGCGGUGCUGCAGAAUCCAGUGCCCCCUUCAACUUCUUAG
This 2058-nucleotide ribosomal RNA is filed under the name Triticum aestivum (bread wheat). RNAcentral describes it as "partial small subunit ribosomal RNA". The record is from RNAcentral. Lineage: Eukaryota; Viridiplantae; Streptophyta; Magnoliopsida; Poales; Poaceae.